RNAcentral lists this non-coding RNA (895 nucleotides) under Pisaster ochraceus (purple sea star). The record is from RNAcentral. Lineage: Eukaryota; Metazoa; Echinodermata; Asteroidea; Forcipulatida; Asteriidae.
AACAGAUUUGGUCCUAGUCUUUUUAUUGACUACUCCUAUAAUGAUACAUGCAAGCCAAAAAGCAAUACUGUGAGUAAAAUUUAUAGUAGUCCACCUCUUAAGAAAACUAACUAAAAAGCAUCAGAAAUCUUCAGGAAUCAAAAACGCUUAGACAACCACAACUGCAGUACUCGAAAUUAUACAAUAAGUGUAAGCUUGAUAUAGUAAUAGGAAAGAUAUCCCGGUUAAUUAUGUGCCAGCCACCGCGGUUAUACAUAAGGUAUCAGCCAAUAAAAAAUGGUAAAAAUUGUGGUAGGAAAAACUUCACUGAAAUAAAGAUAAGCUUAAGCAGUAAUAAGCCAACAGCAAUUAAAUUACAAAAACAAAAACCUAAUUUCACCCUUUCGCAACCCACUAAAGCUCUAAGAUAAACUGGGAUUAGAUACCCCACUAUAAGAGCCAUAAAACACCACCACACCCGAGAACUACGAGCGAAAGCUUAAAACUCAAAGGACUUGGCGGUUUUCUAAUUCUUCCUGGAGGAGCUUGCUAUCUAACCGAUAAUCCACGUAAUACCUCACCAACUUUCGAAUAAAUCAGCCUGUAUACCAUCGUCGUCAGUUUACUUCCCGAGAAAUGUAAACACAAGGAACAAAUUUUACUUCCUGACGUCAGAUCGAGGUGCAGCUAAUAAGUUGGGGAUAAGUGAGCUACAAUCAUAAAUAUAAGAAUAAAAAUAUGUAUGAAUAAUGAACUGAUAGCCCCAUUUGAAACAGGAUUCAGCAGUAAUGAGCAAAAGAAAAUGCCCAUGAACAACUCAAAGCCCUAGAAUGCGCACACAUCGCCCGUCACUCUCGUCACUAGAGGAGAAAAGUCGUAACAAAGUAGGCGUAUUGGAAAAUGUGCCUGGAAUAAA